This 520-nucleotide unclassified non-coding RNA is filed under the name uncultured Glomus. Its description in RNAcentral is "SSU rRNA". It matches the Rfam family "Eukaryotic small subunit ribosomal RNA", at positions 569 to 1091 of the family's 1831-position model. Lineage: Eukaryota; Fungi; Glomeromycota; Glomeromycetes; Glomerales; Glomeraceae. The record is from RNAcentral.
AGCAGCCGCGGUAAUUCCAGCUCCAAUAGCGUAUAUUAAAGUUGCUGCAGUUAAAAAGCUCGUAGUUGAAUUUCGGGACUAAUAUGUCGGUCGUGCCUCGGUACGUACUGGUUUAUUGGUUUCUCCUUUCUGAAGAACCAUGAUGUCAUUUAUUUGGUGUCGUGGGGAAUCAGGACUGUUACUUUGAAAAAAUUAGAGUGUUUAAAGCAGGCUCACGCUUGAAUACAUUAGCAUGGAAUAAUGAAAUAGGACGUUUGAUUCUAUUUUGUUGGUUUCUAGGAUCGACGUAAUGAUUAAUAGGGAUAGUUGGGGGCAUUAGUAUUCAAUUGUCAGAGGUGAAAUUCUUGGAUUUAUUGAAGACUAACUACUGCGAAAGCAUUUGCCAAGGAUGUUUUCAUUAAUCAAGAACGAAAGUUAGGGGGUCGAAAGACGAUCAGAUACCGUCGUAGUCUUAACCAUAAACUAUGCCGACUAGGGAUCGGAUGAUGUUAAUUUUUUAAUGACUCAUUCGGCGCCUUAC